This 207-nucleotide ribosomal RNA is filed under the name uncultured bacterium. RNAcentral's name for it is "partial 16S ribosomal RNA". It matches the Rfam family "Bacterial small subunit ribosomal RNA", at positions 568 to 774 of the family's 1533-position model. The record is from RNAcentral.
AGCGUAGACGGACUGGCAAGUCUGAUGUGAAAGGCGGGGGCUCAACCCCUGGACUGCAUUGGAAACUGUUAGUCUUGAGUGCCGGAGAGGUAAGCGGAAUUCCUAGUGUAGCGGUGAAAUGCGUAGAUAUUAGGAGGAACACCAGUGGCGAAGGCGGCUUACUGGACGGUAACUGACGUUGAGGCUCGAAAGCGUGGGGAGCAAACA